GACGAACGCUGGCGGCGUGCUUAACACAUGCAAGUCGAGCGGAAAGGCCCUUCGGGGUACUCGAGCGGCGAACGGGUGAGUAACACGUGGGCAACCUGCCCCUAGCUCUGGGAUAACUCCGGGAAACCGGGGCUAAUACCGGAUACGAUCUUCCAUGGCAUCUCGGAAGAUGGAAAGUUUUUCGGCUAGGGAUGGGCCCGCGGCCUAUCAGCUUGUUGGUGAGGUAACGGCCCACCAAGGCGACGACGGGUAGCCGGCCUGAGAGGGCGACCGGCCACACUGGGACUGAGACACGGCCCAGACUCCUACGGGAGGCAGCAGUGGGGAAUAUUGCGCAAUGGGCGAAAGCCUGACGCAGCGACGCCGCGUGAGGGAUGAAGGCCUUCGGGUUGUAAACCUCUUUCAGCAGGGACGAAGCGAGAGUGACGGUACCUGCAGAAGAAGCACCGGCCAACUACGUGCCAGCAGCCGCGGUAAUACGUAGGGUGCAAGCGUUGUCCGGAAUUAUUGGGCGUAAAGAGCUCGUAGGCGGUCUGUCGCGUCGGCUGUGAAAACUCGGGGCUCAACCCCGAGCCUGCAGUCGAUACGGGCAGACUAGAGUGCUGUAGGGGAGACUGGAAUUCCUGGUGUAGCGGUGAAAUGCGCAGAUAUCAGGAGGAACACCGGUGGCGAAGGCG
Molecule: ribosomal RNA, 677 nt
Filed under: uncultured Actinomycetes bacterium
Lineage: Bacteria; Bacillati; Actinomycetota; Actinomycetes
Description: bacterial SSU rRNA
Rfam family: Bacterial small subunit ribosomal RNA
Source: RNAcentral